GCGAGGGUGCCAGAGUCUGGUCAAAUGGGCAGGAAAGCGAUGAGCUUUUGCUAAACUCAGAUCUUUUGCUAAACUUAAGAUCCUGUGGCUUAGUGCCUACCAAGGUUCAAAUCCUUGCCCUCGCA
RNAcentral lists this transfer RNA (125 nucleotides) under Nanobdellota archaeon. RNAcentral describes it as "tRNA-OTHER". Lineage: Archaea; Nanobdellati; Nanobdellota. The record is from RNAcentral.